CAGCCGCCGCGGGAAUACGAAGGGGACUAGCGUUGUUCGGAAUCACUGGGCGUAAAGCGCACGUAGGCGGAUUUGUAAGUCAGGGGUGAAAUCCCGGGGCUCAACCUCGGAACUGCCUUUGAUACUGCGAGUCUUGAGUCCGAUAGAGGUGGGUGGAAUUCCUAGUGUAGAGGUGAAAUUCGUAGAUAUUAGGAAGAACACCGGUGGCGAAGGCGGCCCACUGGAUCGGUACUGACGCUGAGGUGCGAAAGCGUGGGGAGCAAACAGGAUUAGAUACCCCCGUAGUCCCUGUCUCUUAUAC
This 301-nucleotide ribosomal RNA is filed under the name uncultured bacterium. RNAcentral describes it as "partial 16S ribosomal RNA". It matches the Rfam family "Bacterial small subunit ribosomal RNA", at positions 509 to 807 of the family's 1533-position model. The record is from RNAcentral.